RNAcentral lists this small nuclear RNA (20 nucleotides) under Arabidopsis thaliana (thale cress). RNAcentral describes it as "snRNA_13107". The record is from RNAcentral. Lineage: Eukaryota; Viridiplantae; Streptophyta; Magnoliopsida; Brassicales; Brassicaceae.
CGUUCAUAGCGACGUUGCUU